GGUCCGAUGGCCGAGUGGUUAGGCAAGGGUCUGCAAAACCCUCUACAGCAGUUCAAAUCUGCUUCGGACCUCCA
Molecule: transfer RNA, 74 nt
Filed under: Candidatus Moraniibacteriota bacterium
Lineage: Bacteria; Candidatus Moraniibacteriota
Description: tRNA-Cys
Rfam family: tRNA
About the family: Transfer RNA (tRNA) molecules are approximately 80 nucleotides in length. Their secondary structure includes four short double-helical elements and three loops (D, anti-codon, and T loops).
Source: RNAcentral